AACGAACGCUGGCGGCAUGCCUAACACAUGCAAGUCGAACGAGAUCUUCGGGUCUAGUGGCGCACGGGUGCGUAACGCGUGGGAAUCUGCCCUUUGGUUCGGAAUAACAGUUGGAAACGACUGCUAAUACCGGAUGAUGACGAAAGUCCAAAGAUUUAUCGCCAGAGGAUGAGCCCGCGUAGGGUUAGCUAGUUGGUGUGGUAAAGGCGCACCAAGGCGACGAUCCUUAGCUGGUCUGAGAGGAUGAUCAGCCACACUGGGACUGAGACACGGCCCAGACUCCUACGGGAGGAAGCAGUGGGGAAUAUUGGACAAUGGGCGAAAGCUUGAUCCAGCAAUGCCGCGUGAGUGAUGAAGGCCUUAGGGUUGUAAAGCUCUUUUACCCGGGAUGAUAAUGACAGUACCGGGAGAAUAAGCUCCGGCUAACUCCGUGCCAGCCGCCGCCGUAA
RNAcentral lists this ribosomal RNA (449 nucleotides) under uncultured bacterium. RNAcentral describes it as "partial 16S ribosomal RNA". It matches the Rfam family "Bacterial small subunit ribosomal RNA", at positions 29 to 523 of the family's 1533-position model. The record is from RNAcentral.